This 571-nucleotide ribosomal RNA is filed under the name uncultured fungus. RNAcentral describes it as "eukaryotic LSU rRNA". The stretch from base 231 to 384 matches the Rfam family "5.8S ribosomal RNA". The record is from RNAcentral. Lineage: Eukaryota; Fungi.
AAGUCGUAACAAGGUCUCCGUAGGUGAACCUGCGGAGGGAUCAUUACCGAGUUUACAACUCCCAAACCCAUGUGAACAUUACCUUUAUGUUGCUUCGGCGGAGCCGCCCCGGCGCCCGGAACCCCCUGCGGUCCGCGGCCCGGAACCAAGGCGCCCGCCGGAGGCCACAAACUCUUCUGUUUUUACAGUUUCUUCUGAGUGUGCCGCAAGGCAGUAUACAAAAUGAUUAAAACUUUCAACAACGGAUCUCUUGGUUCUGGCAUCGAUGAAGAACGCAGCGAAAUGCGAUAAGUAAUGUGAAUUGCAGAAUUCAGUGAAUCAUCGAGUUUUUGAACGCACACUGCGCCCCUUGGUAUUCCGGGGGGCAUGCCCGUUCGAGCGUCAUUUCACCAAUCAAGCCUGGCUUGGUAUUGGGCACCGGGGGCGACCCGGGCCUCAAAGUCGCCGGCUGGUAAGCUCUGAUCUCAGCGUCGUGAUCAAUCAAAUUCGCUUUGCAGAGGAGUGAGCCGUGCCGGUUAAGAAUUAUCUAAAGGUUGACCUCGGAUCGGGUAGGAAUACCCGCUGAACUUAA